RNAcentral lists this ribosomal RNA (725 nucleotides) under Comamonas sp. CCM-018. RNAcentral's name for it is "bacterial SSU rRNA". It matches the Rfam family "Bacterial small subunit ribosomal RNA", at positions 22 to 744 of the family's 1533-position model. Lineage: Bacteria; Pseudomonadati; Pseudomonadota; Betaproteobacteria; Burkholderiales; Comamonadaceae. The record is from RNAcentral.
GCUCAGAUUGAACGCUGGCGGCAUGCUUUACACAUGCAAGUCGAACGGUAACAGGUCUUCGGAUGCUGACGAGUGGCGAACGGGUGAGUAAUACAUCGGAACGUGCCUAGUAGUGGGGGAUAACUACUCGAAAGAGUAGCUAAUACCGCAUGAGAUCUACGGAUGAAAGCAGGGGACCUUCGGGCCUUGUGCUACUAGAGCGGCUGAUGGCAGAUUAGGUAGUUGGUGGGGUAAAGGCUUACCAAGCCUGCGAUCUGUAGCUGGUCUGAGAGGACGACCAGCCACACUGGGACUGAGACACGGCCCAGACUCCUACGGGAGGCAGCAGUGGGGAAUUUUGGACAAUGGGCGAAAGCCUGAUCCAGCAAUGCCGCGUGCAGGAUGAAGGCCCUCGGGUUGUAAACUGCUUUUGUACGGAACGAAAAGCCUGGGGCUAAUAUCCCCGGGUCAUGACGGUACCGUAAGAAUAAGCACCGGCUAACUACGUGCCAGCAGCCGCGGUAAUACGUAGGGUGCAAGCGUUAAUCGGAAUUACUGGGCGUAAAGCGUGCGCAGGCGGUUUUGUAAGACAGUGGUGAAAUCCCCGGGCUCAACCUGGGAACUGCCAUUGUGACUGCAAGGCUAGAGUGCGGCAGAGGGGGAUGGAAUUCCGCGUGUAGCAGUGAAAUGCGUAGAUAUGCGGAGGAACACCGAUGGCGAAGGCAAUCCCCUGGGCCUGCACUGAC